UACAGAGGUCCCGAGCGUUGUUCGGAUUCACUGGGCGUAAAGGGUGCGUAGGUGGCUUGGCAAGUUUGAUGUGAAAGCUCAGGGCUUAACCCUGAAAUGGCAUUGAAUACUGCCGGGCUGGAGGUUUGGAGGGGGGACUGGAAUUCUUGGUGUAGCAGUGAAAUGCGUAGAUAUCAAGAGGAACACCAGUGGCGAAGGCGAGUCCCUGGACAACACCUGACACUGAGGCACGAAAGCUAGGGGAGCAAACAGG
Molecule: ribosomal RNA, 253 nt
Filed under: uncultured bacterium
Lineage: Bacteria
Description: partial 16S ribosomal RNA
Rfam family: Bacterial small subunit ribosomal RNA
Source: RNAcentral